UUUUUAAUUUGUCACAUAGUAAAAAUGCUCUAUGAUGUUAUAUAUUUAUUAUGUGAAUAAUUGUUCGGUAUUGUUUAAAUACAAAAUGUAAUGUUCUUUGUGGAAGAUAAACAGGUUGUCAUUAUAUACCCUGUCAUUAAGGUGGUAGGAGUAUGGCUAUAUAAGUUGUUACAUUAGGUUUUAACCAAAGAACAUAUUGAGAAUCUCAGUUCUUUUGCUUUUAUGUUUUAUCCCAGUGGCAAUCCAAAAAUUCCUUCAUUUCCUUCGUGUUGUACAUCACAUUAUGCAGAGCUACUUAUUAUUUAGUGGAUUAAAUUUUAUUCAUUGGAUACCAAUUUUUAUGGAUUUCUUGAAUAUAAUUAAACCAUAAGUUUGAAUGUUUUGUAAAGUGUAAAUAGGUUGUAGGCUUAUGUGCAAGACUUCAUUAAAACCAUGACAUCAUCAAAUGUCCAUGAACACACAAAAUGUUUCCCAAUAUAUUAAAAUUGGUAACCUUGAAGAGGAAUCCAAGGUAAUUAGUUCUGUAUACAUUAUACAAAGAGAAAUAUCUGUCAAUGUAUGGUUUAAAAACCAAUCAAUCAUUUACUGUUGUACUGUAAAUGUCUCUUACUGAUACUAAAAGGAUUUAAAAAAAAUAAAACCUAAUAAAACCAUUUGUAAGAAUAGAAAAGCCGGUUCAGAUAUUUUGUCAGUUUUGGAUAUGAUACUGUAAAUUCAGAAAUUAUUGCAAAAAUUUUAUUAAUGUGAAUAAUGCGACUAAGUGGAUAUCGCAAUAAUAAGAACUGACAUUCAGAUAUCUUGUGCAUUUAUCUUUAGGGAGCUACCAUUUGAUUUUUAUGGGGGGGCUAGGAUGAAAUUUGAAAAAAAUAGGCAGGACAGGAGUUUUGAGUAAAAAAAAAAGGCAGGAUGAGACACUUACAAAAAAAAAAGUCAGGACGACAAUUUAGGUAAAAAAAGUCAGGAUAAAAAAAAAAAAAGGCAGGACCGAACAGAGUGAAAAAUAAAAAGGCAGGACAGAGAUUACAGCUAAAAAAAAAAUGCAGGACAACAUUUUUCAUCCUAGCCCCUCCCCCCCCCAUAAAAAUCAAAUGGUAGCUCCCUUAGACAUCACAAUAAUCAAUCAUGCACUUUUGUCCAUUCUUCAAAAAUAAUAAUAAAUGCAUGCUAAUAUUUCUGAAUUCACAGUAUAUUAAACUGCACUGGAUAUUUAUAGAUAGUCAUCAGGUAUUAUCUGGGACUGGCAGUGUUUUAAGAUAUUUAAUUAUGAAUCUCUUUUUGGAUUCCAUUUGUAAUAUUAAGGUGAUUAUAAAUAAAAAUUAAAUUGUGAAACACAAAUACAGGAUAAAUAAUCAAAUGUAAGCAAUUUGAAAAAGACAUUAAAGCAAAUCUGUCUUUUUCAAAACUUUAUCAAGGAGAUUAAGGGUACUUCCAUUAUAAAAUUAGAAAGGUGAAUCUAUGCAGAAACCAUUUAUAUGUCUUUCUUUUUUCUACAUAAGCAAAAUGGUUUACAGUCUUUUAAUGUUCUAUGCAUCAAUGUCUGUGUAUGGUUAUUUUUUCUAUGUUUGAAUUACCCAAAACAGUAAAAAUAUAAUGACUGAUUUGAUUAUAUAGAAUUUCUGUCUUUCAAUGGUUGUUUUUUUUUGUUGUUGUAUGAAAAUGGUGCUUUUUAAAGCAAAUUGUUAUCUUUGUCUAUAUUUCUUUGAUUAUACAUGUAUAUCCACAAGCUACUUUCAGUGGACGACAUUACUUUCAUAAGAAAAUGAAAACUUAUGUAACCUUUUGAUCUUAUUUUGGAAUUUCUAGUGACAAGAUUAUUUUCAUAGUUUUUCCAUGACAUUAAAAAUAUAUAACC
Molecule: long non-coding RNA, 1852 nt
Filed under: Mytilus galloprovincialis (Mediterranean mussel)
Lineage: Eukaryota; Metazoa; Mollusca; Bivalvia; Mytilida; Mytilidae
Source: RNAcentral